CCCUUAGAUGUUCUGGGCCGCACACGCGCUACACUGAAGGAGGCAGCGUGUACUCCUGGAUCGAAAGAUUUGGGUAACCCGCGAAUCUCCUUCGUGCUAGGGAUUGAGGUUUGCAAUUAUCCUUCAUGAACAAGGAAUUCCCAGUAAGUGCAAGUCAUAAGCUUGCGCUGACUACGUCCCUGCCCUUUGUACACACCGCCCGUCGCUACUACCGAUUGAAUGAUUUAGUGAGGACUUCGGACUGGGACCGAUGCGGCUUUCGGGCUGCGUCGGUAUUCUGGAAAGAUGUCCAAACUGUAUCAUUUAGAGGAAGUAAAANUCGUAACA
RNAcentral lists this ribosomal RNA (327 nucleotides) under uncultured eukaryote. Its description in RNAcentral is "partial 18S ribosomal RNA". It matches the Rfam family "Eukaryotic small subunit ribosomal RNA", at positions 1470 to 1796 of the family's 1831-position model. The record is from RNAcentral.